GCGUGCGGGUGCUAUACUGCAGUCGAGCGGACAGAAGGGAGCUUGCUCCCGGAUGUUAGCGGCGGACGGGUGAGUAACACGUGGGUAACCUGCCUGUAAGACUGGGAUAACUCCGGGAAACCGGAGCUAAUACCGGAUAGUUCCUUGAACCGCAUGGUUCAAGGAUGAAAGACGGUUUCGGCUGUCACUUACAGAUGGACCCGCGGCGCAUUAGCUAGUUGGUGGGGUAAUGGCUCACCAAGGCGACGAUGCGUAGCCGACCUGAGAGGGUGAUCGGCCACACUGGGACUGAGACACGGCCCAGACUCCUACGGGAGGCAGCAGUAGGGAAUCUUCCGCAAUGGACGAAAGUCUGACGGAGCAACGCCGCGUGAGUGAUGAAGGUUUUCGGAUCGUAAAGCUCUGUUGUUAGGGAAGAACAAGUGCGAGAGUAACUGCUCGCACCUUGACGGUACCUAACCAGAAAGCCACGGCUAACUACGUGCCAGCAGCCGCGGUAAUACGUAGGUGGCAAGCGUUGUCCGGAAUUAUUGGGCGUAAAGGGCUCGCAGGCGGUUUCUUAAGUCUGAUGUGAAAGCCCCCGGCUCAACCGGGGAGGGUCAUUGGAAACUGGGAAACUUGAGUGCAGAAGAGGAGAGUGGAAUUCCACGUGUAGCGGUGAAAUGCGUAGAGAUGUGGAGGAACACCAGUGGCGAAGGCGACUCUCUGGUCUGUAACUGACGCUGAGGAGCGAAAGCGUGGGGAGCGAACAGGAUUAGAUACCCUGGUAGUCCACGCCGUAAACGAUGAGUGCUAAGUGU
Molecule: ribosomal RNA, 800 nt
Filed under: Bacillus safensis
Lineage: Bacteria; Bacillati; Bacillota; Bacilli; Caryophanales; Bacillaceae
Description: bacterial SSU rRNA
Rfam family: Bacterial small subunit ribosomal RNA
Source: RNAcentral